Molecule: long non-coding RNA, 1626 nt
Filed under: Homo sapiens (human)
Lineage: Eukaryota; Metazoa; Chordata; Mammalia; Primates; Hominidae
Description: HSALNT0308348
Source: RNAcentral
CUGAAAAGUGAAAUUUGAACAGUCACGUUAUACCACAGUAAUUCACAGACCACAGCUGGAGAGCACAGUGGGCAUAACAUUGAUAGAUAAGAAUUUGACCCCUCUCCCUCUCCCUCUCCCCGUCUCCCUCUCCCUCUCCCUCUCCCCGUCUCCCUCUCCCUCUCAUGCCGAGCCAAAGCUGGACGGUACUGCUGCCAUCUCGGCUCACUGCAACCUCCCUGCCUGAUUCUCCUGCCUCAGCCUGCCGAGUGCCUGCGAUUGCAGGCGCGCGCCGCCACGCCUGACUGGUUUUCGUUUUUUUUUUGGUGGAGAUGGGGUUUCGCUGUGUUGGCCGGGCUGGUCUCCAGCUCCUAACCGCGAGUGAUCCGCCAGCCUCGGCCUCCCGAGGUGCCGGGAUUGCAGAUGGAGUCUCGUUCACUCAGUGCUCAAUGGUGCCCAGGCUGGAGUGCAGUGGCGUGAUCUCGGCUUGCUACAACCACCUCCCAGCCGCCUGCCUUGGCCUCCCAAAGAGCCGAGAUUGCAGCCUCUGCCCGGCCGCCACGCCGUCUGGGAAGUGAGGAGCGUCUCUGCUUGGCCACCCAUCGUCUGGGAUAUGAGGAGCCCCUCUGCCUGGCUGCCCAGUGUGGAAAGUGAGGAGCGUCUCUGCCCGGCCGCCAUCCCAUCUAGGAAGCGAGAAGCGCCUCUUCCCCGCCGCCAUCCCAUCUAGGAAGUGAGGAGCGUCUCUGCCCGGCCGCCCAUCGUCUGAGAUGUGGGGAGCACCUCUGCCCCACCGCCCUGUCUGGGAUGUGAGGAGCGCCUCUGCUGGGCCGCAACCCUGUCUGGGAGGUGAGGAGUGUCUCUGCCCGGCCGCUCCGUCUGAGAAGUGAGGAAACCCUCUGCCUGGCAACCGCCCCGUCUGAGAAGUGAGGAGCCCCUCCGUCUGGCAACCACCCCGUCUGGGAAGUGAGGAGCGUCUCCGCCCGGCAGCCACCCCGUCCGGGAGGGAGGUGGGGGGGGUCAGCCCCCCGCCCGGCCAGCCGCCCCGUCCGGGAGGUGAGGGGCUCCUCUGCCCGGCCGCCCCUACUGGGAAGUGAGGAGCCCCUCUGCCCGGCCAGCCGCCCCGUCCGGGAGGGAGGCGGGGGGGGGUGGUCGGCCAUCCGCCCCGUCCGGGAGGUGAGGGGCGCCUCUGCCCGGCCGCCCCUACUGGGAAGUGAGGAGCCCCUCUGCCCGGCCAGCCGCCCCGUCCGGGAGGGAGGUGGGGGGGUCAGCCCCCCUUCCGGCCGGCUGCCCCGUCCGGGAGGUGAGGGGCGCCUCUGCCGGGCCGCCCCUACUGGGAAGUGAGGACCCCUCUGCCCGGCCAGCCGCCCCAUCCGGGAGGGAGGUGGGGGGAACAGCCCCCCGCCCGGCCAGCCGCCCUAUCCAGGAGGUGAGGGGCGCCUCUGCCCGGCCGCCCCUACUGGGAAGUGAGGAGCCCCUCUGCCUGGCCAGCCGCCCCGUCCGGGAGGGCGGUGGGGGGGUCAGCCCCCCGCCCGGCCAGCCGCCCCAUCUGGGAGGUGAGGGGCGCUUCUGCCGGGCCGCCCCUACUGGGAAGUGAGGAGCCCCUCUGCCCGGCCACGACCCCGUCUGGGAGGUGUGCCCAGCGGCUCA